Phaseolus vulgaris (common bean) is the source of this 82-nucleotide non-coding RNA. The record is from Rfam. NCBI's taxonomy places the organism in Eukaryota, Viridiplantae, Streptophyta, Magnoliopsida, Fabales, Fabaceae.
GCUGGUUUGCCCGAGAGGUUAAGGGGAAGACUUAAGAUCUUCUGCAGUCAACUGCGCAUGGGUUCGAACCCCAUAGGCAGCA